GGAGAUCCCGGCCGUUUUUCAUGUCCUGCCUAACUGCUGCUUUCAGUGAUUUUUUUUCCAUACACGCAAUUGGAAGACAAAUAACUGCCCCUUAUCCACCUAAGGAGAGGUGGUGAUUUGACAUAAUUAACUGCAAUUGGGUGUACUUUCAGUAUUUUAUCAGCUGCACAUUUUUGGAGUGGAUAUGCAUGGAAGAAAGUUUACCUGUGUUUAGUCAAAUUAAUCACAUAUUCAAUCCCAAAAAAAUGUUUUUUUGGAUAACCUGACAGUACUGCCUAUGAACAAUAUAAACAAAUAAUGUUCUUUUUUUUC
Molecule: long non-coding RNA, 312 nt
Organism: Numida meleagris (helmeted guineafowl)
Lineage: Eukaryota; Metazoa; Chordata; Aves; Galliformes; Numididae
Exons: 3
Source: RefSeq, a predicted model, not a curated record